AUUCCCAUGUAACAGGCUAGGAGCUACUUAAAGGAGGUACAGCUCCUUUAACAAAGAACACAACCUCAACCAGCGGAUAAGACCUCACUACCCACCACUUACCCGUAGGCCUUAAAGCAGCCACCAUCAAAGAGUGCGUCAAAGCUCUAAACCAAAAAUCCAAAAACAAUACGAAUCCCUACACCACUAACAGGCCAAUCUAUAACAAUAGAUGAACCAAUGCUAGAACAAGUAACCAGGAUAUAACAUCCCCUCAAGCGCCAGCCCAUAUACCACUAACAGCACAACCACAAUACCACCCUCUAGACCAAACAUUGUAUACACCCUGUCAACCCAACCCAGGAGCGCACAACUAGGACGAUCAAACUCUGCAAAAGGAACUCGGCAAACCCAGGGCCCGACUGUUUACCAAAAACAUAGCCUUCAGCCAAACAAGUAUUGAAGGUGAUGCCUGCCCAGUGACACUACGUUCAACGGCCGCGGUAUCCUAACCGUGCAAAGGUAGCGCAAUCAAUUGUCCCAUAAAUCGAGACUUGUAUGAACGGCCAAACGAGGCCUUAGCUGUCUCCUGCAGACAAUCAGUGAAACUGAUCUCCCUGUACAAAAGCAGGGAUAAACACAUAAGACAAGAAGACCCUGUGGAACUUAAAAAUCAAUAGCCACCCUACACUACCCCAAAACCUACUAGGCUUACCACCCCAAACGUUGGCUAACAUUUUUAGGUUGGGGCGACCCUGGAGAAAAACAAACCCUCCAAAAACAAGGCCAAACCCCUUAACCAAGAGCAACCCCUCAACGUACCAACAGUACCCAGACCCAAUAAAAUUGACCAAUGAACCAAGCUACCCCAGGGAUAACAGCGCAAUCUCCCCCAAGAGCCCAUAUCGACGAGGAGGUUUACGACCUCGAUGUUGGAUCA
This 919-nucleotide ribosomal RNA is filed under the name Psittacula krameri (Rose-ringed parakeet). RNAcentral describes it as "partial 16S ribosomal RNA". It matches the Rfam family "Bacterial large subunit ribosomal RNA", at positions 960 to 2539 of the family's 2925-position model. Lineage: Eukaryota; Metazoa; Chordata; Aves; Psittaciformes; Psittacidae. The record is from RNAcentral.